GCGAUGAUAGUGCAGUGGUUAGCAUCUCCGGCAAACAUUCCGGAAGGCUCAGGUUCGAUUCCUGAUCUUCGCC
Non-coding RNA from Mycena floridula, 73 nucleotides. The record is from the annotation of a GenBank genome assembly. NCBI's taxonomy places the organism in Eukaryota, Fungi, Basidiomycota, Agaricomycetes, Agaricales, Mycenaceae.